This 1279-nucleotide long non-coding RNA is filed under the name Mus pahari (shrew mouse). RNAcentral's name for it is "lncRNA (MGP_PahariEiJ_G0003319.1)". The record is from RNAcentral. Lineage: Eukaryota; Metazoa; Chordata; Mammalia; Rodentia; Muridae.
GCUGUUGGGUGACCACGGUCUGCUUCUGCUACCCAUGUUGCUUCUCGGUUGGUUUGGACUAUUUUCUCCAUGUGUUUUGUGAUUUGUUUUUUAGCAGAAUAUCAUUUUUCUUGGCACGCUCUCUGUUUGUUUGUUUGUUUGUUUUCCAGGAAGUCACAUUUGAGUGUUACCAGUGACGAAUCACAUGCUCCUGGCGUCUCUGCCAAAGCUCACGGGCCAGUGGCUACAUCCAUGCAAAGUAUCCUCACCUCAGGCUGGUGUGUGCUUCUCCAUGCUCCUGUCCCCUUCCCGUGACUCUGUGCUUAAGGUAUGCCAUCAUACAGUUCUGGGGAUCACAUCUGGGGCUAGAGUCCUCUAUGGAGUCAUUCCCCCAGAGUACAGCAGAGUGUACAGAAAACAUAUGGCCCUGGGUCAUCCAACUACCAGGGCAUCUCUUGGACUGUCAUCUCCUUCCCUGACAGGGGCAGGGGCCCAAGUGGCCUUUGAAGCCCAAAGUAUGGGCUUCAGUCCUUGCUCUGGUGUCCUCUAGUCACCAGGCUUGAGGUAAGGAAGGCAGGUAAGAGCUACCAGCCUGUGAGCUUAGCGUAUUCUUUAGUGUUUUUCAGUGUGGAAUCUACCAUAAUCUACAGUGGCUCUCAGUUCCCUGCUAGCUGACAGUGGCUACUCCUGUGUGUGCUUGCGUGGGUUGGUAUGGGUGUGGGGGUUGUCUUGGCUCCCUAGUCCCGUACCUACCCUUUCCCUACACUCGGGCUAAGAAGAGACUGCAGCAGGGACAAGAGACCCACCCUAUGUACCGACUCCAACCUUAGGGGACCAAGGGAGCCCUGGCAAAGUCCCUGACAUGGAACUCCUUCCUUCCCACAGGCACUAUGAGUAGGAACCCUCUGCCCACCUGGCAGCCACCUUCUAGUCACCCCCACAGACCCCAGCAACUGCUGCAUCCUACCUCCUACAGACUGGCCUAGUCUGUUCAGUCUGGGGCACUGUAGGAUGGGUGGAGCCAAGGGAAAUGGAUUGAUUCAGAGUGCUGAGUUGAGGAAUCUACAGUCACAAAGAGAAAUGAAGACCAUUAAGUCUGUCCAGAGAGUAGCUAGGCCAAGAAAAUGCGAUUGGUGAUUGAUUGGUGAUGUCUGCUGAGGACGAAGCUGUGUAGAGUGGGCUAGGGCCUUACUAUGUAGCCCUAGCUGUCUUGGAACUUGCUACAUAGACUAGUCUGGUUUCAAGCUCAGAGAUUCUCUUGCCUCUGCCUCUAGAGUGCUGGAAUUAAAGGUGUGCCACU